Molecule: non-coding RNA, 6669 nt
Organism: Callithrix jacchus (white-tufted-ear marmoset)
Lineage: Eukaryota; Metazoa; Chordata; Mammalia; Primates; Cebidae
Source: RefSeq, a predicted model, not a curated record
UUAACUCAGAUAAAUCUGAUUAGUUUCAAAUUAUUUUCUGUAAUCCUAUCUUUGACUCAUUCUUUUAAUUAAAAAAAAAAUUUAAAGUAAAUUAAGCCUUUCCUUUCAGCGGAAAGCCAUAGCAAGAUGGCUGUGCAAAUUUCCAAGGAGAGGAAGUUGGUCAUUGAAGGCAUCUUCAAAGCUGAACUGAAUGAGUUUGUUACUCAGGAGCUGGCUGAAGAUGGCCACUCUGGAGUUGACGGCCAGGUUACACCAACCGGGACAGAAAUCAUUAUCUUACCACCAGAACACAAAUGUUGUUGGUGAGAAUGGCCAGCGGAUUCUGGAACUGACUGCUGUAGUUCAGAAGAGGUUUGGCUUUCCAGAGGGUGGUGGAGACCUUUAUGCUGAAAAGGUGGCCACGAGAGGCCUGAGAGGCCUCUGCGCCAUUGCCAAGGCAGCGUCUCUGCAUUACAAUCUCCUGUGAGGGCUUGCUGUGCAGAGGGCCUGCUGUGGUGUGCCAUGGUUCAUCAUGGAGAGUGGGGCCAAAGGCUGCAAGGUCAUGGUGUCCGGGAAACUCUGAGGACAGAGAGCUAAAUCCAUGAAGUGUGUGGAUGGCCUGAUGAUCCACAGCGGAGACCCUGUUAGCUACUACAUUGACACUGCCAUGCGCCAUGCGUUGCUCAGACAAGGUGUGCUGGGCAUCAAGGUGAAGACCAUGCUGCCCUGGGACCCAACUUGUAAGACUGGCCCUAAGAAGCCCUGCCUGACCACGUGAGCAUCAUGGAACCCAAAGAUGAGAUACUGCUCACCACCUGCAUCUCAGAACAGAAGGAUGGGAAGCCAGAGCUGCCUGCCAUGCCCCAGCCAGUCCCCACACAUAACAGGGUCUCCUUGGCAGCUGUUUUCUGGAGUCUGGAUGUUGCUCUGUAAAGACCUUUAAUACAAUCUUGUCCAAAGUAAAUAAAAAAAUAAAUAAAAAGUAACUUAAAAAAUAACAGAGCUCGCCAGCCCCUUAGAGCACAUCUUGGUCUAGGGUAGUUUCUUUAGCAGAGUUUUCUGUAGAUACAGACAUGUGUUCACAAAGUAUCUUUAGGUUUCCCAGGCCCAGAGGGGGCAGGAUAAUACUAAGGGAGGGAGGUCUUCUCUGGGAGGAGAGACCUGCUCUAACCAGCCCUGUAGCUCUGCAGCUCUGCAAAUCUUUGGGGCUUUGUCCUCAUCUGUAAAUAGGGAUGAAGCUUGUCCAAUUUACCUCAUUCAGUUAUAAUGUGCAUCAGAUGAAAUGACAUUUGUAAAAACAACUUGAAAAUACAACAUGAUGUAAGCAGGUAUUUAGUUGUCAAGCUCUAAGUCCUGAAGCCUCGUUUAUAAUAACAACAGUAAUAACAAUAACAAUACAGGCCGGGUGCAGUGGCUCACACCUGUAACCCCAGCACUUUGGGAGGCUGAGGCAUGCAGAUCACGAGGUCAGGAGUUCAAGAUCAGCCUGGCCAAUAUGGUGAAACCCCAUCUCUACUACAAAUACAAAAAUUAGCCAGGUGUGGUGGCACGUGCCUGUAGUCUCAUCUACUCGGGAGGCUGGGGCAGAAGAAUCACUCAAACCGGAGAUGUAGAGGCUGCAGUGAGCCGAGAUCAUGCCACUGUACCCAGCCUGGGCCACAAAGUGAGACUGUAAAAUAAUAAUAUUGUAAAAUAAUAAUAAUACAAUAACAAAGGAAGAAAUAAAAGGAGGAUGUGUAACGUGGCAAGGAGGGAAGGAAAAAUGAAGAAAGAAGAAAAGAAACCUACUGAAGAUAGCCAAGGAAAUAGCUUUUCUUCUCAGAUGCAGACUUGAGGGCUUUCAAAAUAAUGGAAAUUACACUUCACGAUAAAAUAAUCCCAAUGGUCAUUGUCAUUAGAAUUCAGAACAAUAUUUAUAUGGUUCUCUGUGGUGAGUCAACAAUUAUUUUCGAUGGAAGCCACAGGGCUUCAAUUUUCAGAGUUUAAAUAAUAAACAUAGCGACACCACCAAAGAAACAUUCAUUAAAUAUCAAUAUAAAAUACAGGGGAAGAAAAAGAGAAAAACAGCAAGCUGCUCAUUGCAGUGUUUCCGACUGAGACUCUGUUCCGCAAACCCUGGGGGAGCAGCAUGGAUUGAGCUGUUACUUGAAGCUUGGGUUAAACACAGUAGACUUUCCAGGGCAGAUCAAGUCAAUUUAUAUUCUGAAAACCUGGCACUGCCUAAGAAGAUGCAAACCCAUCUGACAGAAGCUUUGCAGGAGUGUAGUUAAUGCCAUAAAAGGGUGCUCAGAGACUCACCCAUAGAGACUUUCUGAUAGCUGAUGCCAGGGACAGCAAAAAGCGAAUGUUCGGUGGGGUCGUUAACCAAGCCCCUCUCAGUUCUUCUUGAGCCCAUCCUCCGCUCACUGGUCCCCGUUUUAUAACCAUGCUCAAGGAGCCUAGGCUUCUCUGCUUCUCUUCCAACAUGCUCACUGUCACUACUUUAUCCAUUCUGUACUGUUGCAGGCUGAAGGGGACAUUCCACUUAGAGGGAUCCACAGAUUCGAAAGGCUGCUUGGGGAGGGCAGCACAGUAAGCUACAAGAACUUUGCCAUCAAGACAGGUCUGGAUUUAAGUCCCAAUUUCUGCAUGUGGUAACCAGUCUGCAAGAGAGCCUGCAAUGAUUCCUGCCCCUCAUAUUCACGUCCUUGUUAGUUCCCUUACACAGUGACUCAGGGCUGGCUCUGGGUGACCAAUAGAAUACGGAGGAAGUGAUGGAGUAUGAAUUCCAAGGCUAGGUCACAGAAGGCAUUGUACCUUCCACCUCUUAGAUCUCUCUCUAGGGAAGCCAGCCACCACUCUGCAAGGACUCUCAAGCAGCUCCAUCUACAGACUCACAUGGAGAAGAAUUAAGGGCUCCUACCAAUCACAGCACCACUUUGGCAGCCUUGUAAGUGAGACACCUUAGAACAGGAGCCUCCAGCUCCGACUGACAUUUGACUGCAACGUCAUGAGAGACCCUGAGUUUGAACCACCCAGCUGAGCUGCUUCUGAGCUAACCCACUGAAACCAUGAGACAUUAUCAGUAUUGUUUUAAAUCCUAAAUUUGGGAGUGAUAUGUUACAUAGCCAUAUUAACAAGUAUGUCUUUAUGUGAUGGAUUACUAUUGUUCAUUUGCAUAUCUUGGACCAGCCUUGUAUGCCAGGGAUGAAGCCAACUUGAUCGCGGUUUUGGUAUCAGGAUGAUGCUGGCCUUAUAGAAUGAGUUAGGGAGGAGUCUCUCCUUUUCAAUUAUUUGGAAUAGUUUCAGAAGAAAGGAUAUCAGCUCCUCUUUGUAUUUCUGGUAGAAUUCAGCUGUGAAUCCAUCUGGUCCUGGGCUUUUUUUGGUCGACAGUCGGCAGCUGUGUGAAGACGGGAAUAGAGGAGGCAUGGUAGGCAGCCACAGCUUGGAUUCUCUGCAGCCCUGGGGAACGUGGCCACCAUGAUGUCUUCCCACCAUGAUGACUUCACCCCACCCCUUUCUGGUGACCCCUGCUGUCGCCCUCACAGGUUCCUCAGGUCCUGAGAGGCGGAGGUGGGCCAGCAGAAGGUGAGCUUGGGAAGGCAGCCCGGGUUCGGUCCAAAUCCUUCCGGCUCUUCAACUUGGCGGGUUAGUUAACAUUCAGAAGCCUUCAUCCCCCGUCCGCAAAAUGGGCAUGAACGACUCAGAAUGCUGCCUUGAAGAAAGGAUCUACCCAGCAUGGUGCGUGGAGCCCAAGCAAUUGGUACUUCAGGUCUUCAACCUGCCCCUUUCCAAUGACCCUGCUGUCGCCCUCGCAGGUGUCAUCCUCGGUGUCUGAACGCUGGGUUUGAUGCGUCUGGAAAGGCGCCCCUCACAGGCCUCAUUGCCGGGAGCCCCUAGUGCCACCAGCAGCCAGCAGGGAGCGCGUCCUCCGCCCGCCCACUUCUGCUCCUCUCGCAGCAGGGCUGGUGACCUUAGGACAGAAUGACUCUAAACGCGCUCCAGCCCGCGGUGUGAUCAUUCCCUGAUGUGAAAGCUUCAACCGCAGUCUCAAAAUGAGCUCUUCCAAGGCAUAAAAUAAUCAGUUAAAAAUAUUAUGGGUUGCCAGGCGCGGUGGCUCACACCUAUAAUCCCAGCACUUUGGGAGGCCAAGGAGGGUGGAUCACGAGGUCAAGAGAUCGAGACCAUCCUGGUCAACAUGGUGAAACCCUGUCUUUACUAAAAAUGCAAAAAUUAGCUGGGCGUGGUGGCGUUCGCCUGUAGUCGAAACUACUUGGGAGGCUGAGGCAGGAGAAUCGCUUGAACCCAGGAGGUGGAGGUUGUGGUGAGCCGAGAUCACGCCAUUGCACUCCAGCCUGGGUAACAAGAGCGAAACUCCGUCUCAAAAAAAAGAAAGAAAGAAAAUAUUAUGGGUUGUAAAGAUGUUGGCUCCGGAGAAGAGUGAGACCCAGAACGCGGUGCAGCUGCAAGCACCCUGGGCUGCGCGGAAGGCUCUGAUCUGGGGAUGGCCCUUGCCAGUGACAGUGACCUGGGCUGUCUUGGAGACUCCGAUUGCUCAUACCAGCCUCAGGCAAGGUUGUUUGUGCACUCGUGAAAUCAGACGUAUUAAAGUACUACAUUGAUCAUGGAUUUUGUUGAAUAGCCAAGAACAACAACAAAAGAAUGUUGAAAAUGAUGAGGGCGUGGCUCUACAUUGGGAAGGGAAAUAGGAGGCAUGAGACAGAGGAGAAUCCAGGACAAUUCUGUGAGAAAAUGUACUUGCACUCUGGUUUUUUGCGGAGGCCCCUGUGUGCUGGGAGGCUGGCUGGGAUGGGGAGCUGGUGGCAGAGAAUACUGUCUGUUUUAUUCCUCAUAACUGGAGAGAGAUGCAACAGAAGACUGGGGUCAUUAGGAACCAGUGGGCAGGUAGGGACAGGCGUUGGCGUGGACUAGAGCAGGUUCCCCUGAAGUUCUCCAGGGUAGAGGUGAAGGAGCUUCUAGAGCAAAGUUUGCCAGUUAAGGGGGAGCUGCUGUUUGGGCUGCUCUCCAAAGUGGAGAAUUUUCGUGUGUGCCUGGAGUGUUUCUAUUUGAGAGGUGGGAAGGUGAAUUAUUUACGAUUAAAUAUAUCCAUCUCUCCUCAGAUUCUGCAGAACUCGCAGACCCAAAAACAAAUUAGAAAUUGCUUUUCUCUUCUUGCUUAACCUAAAUUUCUUUGUAAAAGCUGAAGGAAAAUAUGAGUAAUUUUCUAAUAUAGUCAGUUACAGAGACAACAAAGAGAAAUAUUCAAGGAAAAAAAACACUAAUGUGCUUUGACUUCGUGUGUGUCUUAGCUGUAGACAGAAUUGGGACUUCCUAAUAUGGGUUUGUUCCAAUACAACCCCUCGAAAAGAUUUUCAUCAGCAAAACACACACCGGAGGAGCAGCUGCUGUGCAGUUGUCUCCUGCAAACCAUUUUCUCACUUCAUUGCUAGUUUUCACAGCAUCUUUCUUCUAACAGUUCUCCUUUUUUGAUCUGCAAACAACCUGGGAUUAUUUCUUUCUCUCCUGGUAAAUGAAAGAAAUGUAAAGCAGAUUCUAGAAUAGGUUUAGAUUGGUUUAUUCCAGGUCCCUGGAAUAAACCGGGCAUGGUGGCUCAGCGUUUUGAGAGGCUGAGGUGGGCAGAUCACCUGAGGUCGGGAGUUCAAGAUCAGCCUGGCCAACAUGGAGAAACCCCAACUCUAGCAAAAAAAAAAAAAAAAAAAAAAAAAAUUAAUUGGGUGUGGUGGCGGAUGCCUGUAAUCCCAGCUACUCAGGAGGCUGAGACAGGAGAAUCGCUUGAACCCAGGAGGUGGAGGUUUCGGUGAGUUGAGAUUGUGCCAUUGCACUUCAGCCUGGGCAACAAGAGUGAAACUCCAUCUCAAAAAGAAAGAAGUCUGUGUUAAAGGUUAAGUCACAAAUACAAAAAUACAAUAAAUAGAGAACUGCCUGGUUAACUGGGGGCUGAUUCCCAGAGAUACAACCUGGGGGAGCUUCCCUAGCAAGGUGGCUACUCCCUGCCAAGGUAACCACAGCUUUCUAACGAUAAGUAAAGUGUUUCUACUCAUAUCAUAGGGACCCUGCUAAAACAUGGCCCUUUUCUCUCUGCCAUCCAAAAAAACAUCAAGAAAGUAAGAAGGGGCGUUUCUGAGAGCAAACUAGGAAUCUUAGCAUAAUGCCUUCUCUCUAAUUAUGUUGGAAACAGGCUUUUAAAAAGAAAAAAAUCUGAGGAGAAGAUUACUAAAUAGAAUUCAACUAAAAUGGCUUUUGAUAUUCUGCAGCUUCAAAGCAUUUGUAUUGGGUAUAUGUUCUCAUGGAUUUUGUUUAAGUUAAAUUUGAAUGUCCCAUUCCUCUGAGAACUCAGAGAAAGCCAGGUUGAUUAAUAAGUAAUUAAGAGGCCAGGAACAGUGGCUCACACCUGUAAUUCCAGCACUUUGAGAGGCCAAGGUGGAUGGAACACCUGAGGUAAGGAAUUCAAAACCAGCCAGGUCAACAUGGUGCAACCCCACCUCUACUAAAAAUAUAAAAAUUAGCCAGGCGUGGUGGCUCACACCUGUAAUCCCAACUACUUGGGAGGCUGAGGCAGGAGAAUCGCUUGAACCAGGGAGGCAAAGGUUAGAGUGAGUGGAGAUCGUGCCAUCGCACUCCAUCAUGGGUGACGAAGUGAGUGAGACUCUGUCUCAAAAAAAAAAAAAAAAAAAGUAUUUAAGGCCAGAU